Molecule: ribosomal RNA, 497 nt
Filed under: uncultured bacterium
Lineage: Bacteria
Description: partial 16S ribosomal RNA
Rfam family: Bacterial small subunit ribosomal RNA
Source: RNAcentral
GAUGAACGCUGGCGGCGUGCCUAAUACAUGCAAGUCGAGCGAACAGACGAGGAGCUUGCUCCUCUGACGUUAGCGGCGGACGGGUGAGUAACACGUGGAUAACCUACCUAUAAGACUGGGAUAACUUCGGGAAACCGGAGCUAAUACCGGAUAAUAUAUUGAACCGCAUGGUUCAAUAGUGAAAUACGGUUUUGCUGUCACUUAUAGAUGGAUCCGCGCCGCAUUAGCUAGUUGGUAAGGUAACGGCUUAGCAAGGCAACGAUGCGUAGCCGACCUGAGAGGGUGAUCGGCCACCCUGGAACUGAGACACGGUCCAGACUCCUACGGGAGGCAGCAGUAGGGAAUCUUCCGCAAUGGGCGAAAGCCUGACGGAGCAACGCCGCGUGAGUGAUGAAGGUCUUCGGAUCGUAAAACUCUGUUAUUAGGGAAGAACAAAUGUGUAAGUAACUAUGCACGUCUUGACGGUACCUAAUCAGAAAGCCACGGCUAACUACGUG